UCCGGUGAAAAUAGGUCCCUAUGUGAGUAUACAAGUAUAUAUGAGAAUGAAUCUAAUCCGUAGGAUUAGAUGAAAUUCAAAGGCUAUGAUUAAAAACAAGUAAUGAUUAUAAUGUAAAUAACCUCCAAACUACCAAAUAAUAAAAAUACAUACGUUUCUCUCUCUAGAAUUACUAUAACUGUUUACCCUCUCUGUGAAAUUCAGCCUCAUUCCUCUCUCUCUCACCAUUUUCUCUCUCCUAAAAAAUCCUCCAUUAAAGCUUCAAGAAAACACCGAUCAAGCUUCAUAUCACUCGAUUAUUCAUUGAUUUUAGGUAGUUUGUCGCCGAAUUCUUGUAUUUUUCUUCCUUUCUUCUACAAUUUUUGUCAAUUUUAACCUAAUUUUUUUGAAUUCGUAUACAAUUGAAGAUGAAGAAGCAGAAAAUUCAUAAAAUCAAGCCGAAAAACCUACGAACGGAGAAGGUACACAACAAUACGCAAAUUUCUAAUUAUUCUCUUGUUCUAGAAUUUAAUUUAAGUUAAUUUAUGUUUACUAAUUAUGAUUUUGAGGAAAAAUAUGAAAAGUGAAGAUGAAUUUGCCAAAAAAAUCGAAGAAAAUCACAAUUCAGAUUCAGAAGAUCGAGAAGAACCGUAGGGAUGAUGAACCUUUGGAAAAAUGAAAGUUGAUGUUGCUUCUAUUUCAUCAACUCCAGAAAAAACUGAAGCUCCACCCAAGGAAAAAGAAGAAGAUGAUACAAAAGGUGCAAGAAAGAGUGCAUAUACUUGCAGAAAAGGAGAAGGAACUUGAAAAGUUUCAGGAAAUGAAGAAAUUGAGUAUUGUGGGAAGAUAUUGGCGCAUGAGGAAAAUGAUGAACAUCAUGUUUUUAUUUCAAAGUCAAGGAAAUGGGCAAAACGAAUCAAUUUUGACGGGAUCGUAUUCUUUAGCAUCAAUUGUUGAAUUCUUGUACAUACUUUGUGAUGAAUUCGUAAAAUUAGUAAACCGACAAUUUUUAUCUUGGAUGGUUUUGAUCAACUUGUAAUACAUUCAUUUGCUUGAAGAUUUAACCUUGUUUAAAAGUUUCACAAAUAAA
Spinacia oleracea (spinach) is the source of this 1069-nucleotide long non-coding RNA. RefSeq lists it as uncharacterized. Lineage: Eukaryota; Viridiplantae; Streptophyta; Magnoliopsida; Caryophyllales; Amaranthaceae. The transcript has 3 exons. The record is from RefSeq and is a predicted model, not a curated record.